Molecule: long non-coding RNA, 1033 nt
Filed under: Salmo salar (Atlantic salmon)
Lineage: Eukaryota; Metazoa; Chordata; Actinopteri; Salmoniformes; Salmonidae
Description: lncRNA (ENSSSAG00000119668.1)
Source: RNAcentral
CUGUCCUCUCUGCUGCCCUCUGCUGGCUGAGCCCUGGACCUGUCCUCUCUGCUGCCCUCUGCUGGCUGAGCCCUGGACCUGUCCUCUCUCAUCUGCUUCAGCCUCAGUCUCGCAGCCUGGGCACGUCCGCUCACAGAGUUGGGAGAGAAGGUGAGCCGGCUACUGCUUCCUGUUCCCGCUGGUUUACCGGUGACGCUCGUGGUGAAACUGGUCGGGGUUCUACCAGCGUCCUGAGCCUCAGGGGCUACUUUAGUCUGAGGUUGGGUUUUAGACGUUUUCUCUUUCUGGGUUUGUGCUGAAGGUGUGGUAGUCCCAAGAGAAAUGGAGAAGUUGUUUGGGACAGGUGAGGCAGCAUUUGGGACGGGUGCUGCUAAAGUUCCAGGUGGUUUAUCUGGUUUACUAGCAGGCUCUGGGUUGUUCUGCGGCUGGCAUGCUGGCUGUAUUGUCUGGGCAGUAGUGUUGAAGUUAUAGUCUGAUUUGGAGGUCUUGGCUUUCUGGGCCUUGGCCUCUCUGUGAGCAGGCUUGACUUUAGGCGUGGAAGUUUUGACAGCCUCGAUGAUGGGGACUCCGUUCAGAGCUGCCCUGACUGCGGCCUGCCUCAGCGGGCUGGGAGAGGGAGGUAGACUCUCCUGCUUCUUCACAUACUCCAUCCUGAGGAGGGAGAGGAUUGGGGACCAUGACAACCUGAUUGACGCCUAUAAACAAACUAUACCAAAAAGGCACUUAUUGUAGUAGUAAAAAAUAUGUAUUAAAACCACUUUUUAACAGUGGUCUAAAGUACUUCAGUAAAAAUACUUUAAAGUACUACUUAAGUAGUUUUUGUGGGUAUCUGUACUUUACUAUUUCUAUUUUUUGACUACUUUUACUUCACUACAUUCCUAAAGAAAAUUAUGUACUUUUUACUCCAUACAUUUUCCAUGACACCCAAAAGUACUCGUUACAUUUUUAAUGCUUAGCAGGACAGGAAAAAAGUCUAAUUCCCACACUUAUCAAGAGAACAUCCCUGGUCAUCCCUACUGCCUCUGAUCUGGAG